UACGAAGGGGGCUAGCGUUGCUCGGAAUCACUGGGCGUAAAGCGCACGUAGGCGGAUUGCUAAGUCAGGGGUGAAAUACCGGGGCUCAACCCCGCGUAUGCCCAGGAUACUGUCAGACUGGAGACACGUAGAGGCAAGCGGAAUUUCGGGUGUAGCGGUGGAAUGCGUAGAUAUCCGAAAGAACACCGGAGGCGAAGGCGGCUUGCUGGGCGUGAUCUGACGCUGAGGCGCGAAAGCGUGGGGAGCGAACAGG
Molecule: ribosomal RNA, 253 nt
Filed under: uncultured bacterium
Lineage: Bacteria
Description: partial 16S ribosomal RNA
Rfam family: Bacterial small subunit ribosomal RNA
Source: RNAcentral